GACGAACGCUGGCGGCGUGCCUAAUACAUGCAAGUUGAGCGCUGAAGGUUGGUACUUGUACCAACUGGAUGAGCAGCGAACGGGUGAGUAACGCGUGGGGAAUCUGCCUUUGAGCGGGGGACAACAUUUGGAAACGAAUGCUAAUACCGCAUAAAAACUUUAAACACAAGUUUUAAGUUUGAAAGAUGCAAUUGCAUCACUCAAAGAUGAUCCCGCGUUGUAUUAGCUAGUUGGUGAGGUAAAGGCUCACCAAGGCGAUGAUACAUAGCCGACCUGAGAGGGUGAUCGGCCACAUUGGGACUGAGACACGGCCCAAACUCCUACGGGAGGCAGCAGUAGGGAAUCUUCGGCAAUGGACGAAAGGCUGACCGAGCAACGCCGCGGGAGUGAAGAAGGGUGUCGGAUCGUAAAACUCUGUUGGUAGAGAAGAACGUUGGUGAGAGUGGAAAGCUCAUCAAGUGACGGUAACUACACAGAAAGGGACGGCUAACUACGUG
RNAcentral lists this ribosomal RNA (497 nucleotides) under uncultured bacterium. RNAcentral's name for it is "partial 16S ribosomal RNA". It matches the Rfam family "Bacterial small subunit ribosomal RNA", at positions 28 to 507 of the family's 1533-position model. The record is from RNAcentral.